UGCAUAGCGAUCUCGAAUGUGAAUAACAAACUAGUUUGUGAAUCAUGCCGCGCGAAUUCUUGGAGUAAAUUGUUCAGGAUCGACGUCACACACUUGCCCGUUUGCUGUCCCGCCGCGGUUACAGACAAUAUCAUUCGCUGCAUAAGACUCUGUGACUCAACAACAAACUUGUGGGUAUGCGGUUUCAGCUGAUAAUAUCCAUACUCACAAUGUACUUGCUCAAUAUUAUAAAUUUGUUUAUAUAAAUAGUCACGUAACCUGGGUUUUUACUUUUCUUUAGAGCCAUGUAGAAAAUUAUUUUUAAAUUUCAUUUCACAAUUAUAUGUCAGAGCUGAUUCAUACAGCUGCGACAACUUUUGGUGGCCGGGCUGGAAUUCCUGUUUUUGGUUCUCGUUCCAUCUUAUGUAGCAUUCUGUAAACGCUUGAAUUCAUCAGAUGAUCGUAAUUUGGCAGCCAUGCUUUCUCCACGACCACGAAUAACUUCUGCCUGGCCUGACAAAACUUCAGCAAUCAUUUCAUCAUUGAAGAAAUCAUUUGGACAUCUCCAUCGUCGUCCUGGACAUAUAUAUCAUGCUGUAAAAUAUUCAAAGUUUCAUUUCGGAAGAGGGAUCACUUUAAUUACAAAGAAGACAUAAUUAAUAUA
Long non-coding RNA from Microplitis demolitor, 643 nucleotides. RefSeq lists it as uncharacterized. The transcript is spliced from 4 exons. Lineage: Eukaryota; Metazoa; Arthropoda; Insecta; Hymenoptera; Braconidae. The record is from RefSeq and is a predicted model, not a curated record.